CGCCCGCCCCGGACUUCACACCCGGAUCCCGCCCGAGCUCCCCACCCCGCCCUGGCCGUCCCCACCAGGCCAAGGCCACCAGCUCCGGACCCCCCAGCUCCAAGGUAAAGCCCUCUGGGGCGGCGGCGGCGGCGGGAGGUCCCUGAGCCCCGGGCAGCCGGGAGAUCUUCUGCCCAUCACCUCCUGGCCCGGGCCCCCUGUCCUCUGUGCGCACGUGUCUGGCCCUUCCCCUCUCUGCAGGUCUCCUCUGAAGCCUCUCUGCCCCCCUCUCUCUCCCAGCUGUCUCUGCGGGUCUCAGAGAUCUCUCUGCUCCCCCAUUCUCCGCUCCGCUCCCUCCCCGGCCCUCCUCCGGCUUCUCUCCCAGAUGAAGUCUCUCUCACCCCGCUUGGCUCUCUCCAGCCUUCCUCCUCUCCCCCCCAGCGCCAGCCAGCUCAUUCUUUCCUGCAAAGCAGGAGCCGUUACUCAUGUCACCUCCCUCCCUCCCUCCCUCCCUCCCAUUGGACUCCUCAGCUGGGGGGGGGGGGCAGACCCAGAGAGGGAAGGGAGAGGAAGCGGGUCCAGAGCGGCCCUCUGGGAGGACCCUGCGCCCAGGCUGGCAAUGGAGUGAAGGAAGAAGGGUCCGAAGAGGAGGGACAUUUGUGUUCUAGGCAAGUCCUUGCAUCAGGAGCUGCUGAACACACCCUAGGCUGGUUGCUUCCUGUUUUCUGGAGGGGAGCCGGGGGUGGGGUGACCGAGAUGGGGAUGACUCUCUGGGCUCAUCUCCCCACUUCCUCCGGGGUCUGAAGAAGGACUUCUGGGAGUCAAAAGCCACACCCACAGCUAGCCCCAGAGCCCCCCUCCGCACAGAUCUCAAUCCCAUCACCCCCUCCUACAGAUGUCGCCCCCAGGCCACUUCUGCUUCCUUUUCCUCCUCCUGGGCUGGGCCGUGCCUUCGAGGACCCAAGACUUAUCAGUGGAGACCCAUUUAGGUACAUCGAUGGCCCCACCAUUAAUGGAGAAGGACCAUUCAACCCCUGCUUCAAGCUCAGGCACAGCUCUAAGCCCAACCACCUCAGAGCACCAGCUGACUUCAGGGGAUCCUACCAAGUACAGCGCCGACACAGGCCAAACCCAGCCAGAGAAGAAGAUGGAAACUACUUCCGAGAUGCGUAACUUGGACCCUCCAACUGUGGGCAGCAGAACAAGAACUCCCAAGCCUUCAGCCUCUUCUGGGCACCAGGAGGCGGAGAAUCCCUUCCAAAGUGAUGAAUAUACCCUCCGGAAGAGAGGUUUACUGGCAGCUGCUGUUCUCUUCAUCACAGGCAUCGUGAUUCUCACCAGUGAUCGGUGCCGCCAGUUUCGUUGGUGCAGAAGGCAACAAAGAAGUGCCUACAGGGUGGCCCAAGCCUGAGGCCCCAGCUCUAAUGAAGAGAUACCAGUGGAGCCAUGAUGGUGGAAGGACCCCAAGGCUCUGGCCGACUCUGAAGCUCAUGGAGCUCUGGGAAGAAAGUCCCACUGCUCACCCCUUUUACCUGGUUUCUCACUGCCAUGACGAUGCCUUUUUCAAGAUGGCACCAGCUCCUGUUUCUAGGUCUCCCUGGUCUCUGUUGCCACUCCCCCCCAGAUCCCAAGUUUCUCAGCCAAAUUCUCAAUAAACAUUUGCGGGACAAAUGAAUGGACGAGUGU
This is a long non-coding RNA of Monodelphis domestica (gray short-tailed opossum), 1665 nucleotides long. The record is from Ensembl. NCBI's taxonomy places the organism in Eukaryota, Metazoa, Chordata, Mammalia, Didelphimorphia, Didelphidae.